This 9223-nucleotide long non-coding RNA is filed under the name Marmota monax (woodchuck). Lineage: Eukaryota; Metazoa; Chordata; Mammalia; Rodentia; Sciuridae. The record is from RNAcentral.
GAAUUUGCCAACUUCCCUCUGAGGUCCAGACUCUGAAAGCCAACUGUGGAAUGUCUGAGUUUCCAUCAGGCCUGGUGCUUGCAGGCUGCUGCUAUGUCAGGAAGAACCCCACAGCUCAACUGUCCUAUAAACAUCUUGCCCCUCUGCUGAGUGCUGUUGGUGCAGCCUUCCUUCUCCGAGCCGAGAAUAUGCUGUCUGAGAGUCACAGGCUGAAUGUUAACUAACACAGGAGCACAGCUGACCGCUCUCUUCUACAGGCCAGUGGCUGCUCUAAGAAAACACAUUCACGUGAACAUAACAAGAACAGGAAGAGGAGCCCAGAUUUUCCUCACCAUGUGCCACCCAGCCAUGUUUACACUGAUCGCAAGUCCUCAGGUUAAUCUUCCCCGGCUGAAAACAUUCACAUGUGCAGUUUACCAACGUGCAACGGAUGGCCUGAAAAACAGAGCAGGAAAAAAGAUCAGCAUCUGUUCAAAGGUACUAUACUUUUUUCACAAUUUUUAAUAAAUAAUUCCCACUUCUAUUUUUAAAGGCUAUUUCUUUUGGUGGAGGCCUAGAGAAUUUUGAAAAUAAAUAUUGAUAUCAUCAAAAUCUCUUACCAAAAAAAAAAAAAAAGUAAGAGAAACAAAGCUCAUUCAGAAUCAUAUUUUAAAUCACUCAUAGUAACCUUUAAAUUAGAAAUGUAGACCAAGGAGAAUAAGAAUAAAGGAUUAUAUAUUCUACAAAAUGCAGAAAUCCAAAAAAGAAACAAAUGGUACUACUAAUUUAUUUCCAUUUAAGUUUAUCCACUUUCUAAUAAUGAAAAAGAAAAUACAUCUUAAUAAUGUUAAAGUGAAAUGUUUAUACAAUUAAAUGCAACAGAAAAAUACUGUUACAAUAGUACUUCUGAAUUUCAUUUAAAUACUUUGCUAAUCUGUCAGAUAUUUCGAGAGACACUCCUGUUUUCUCAAUAAGACUUAGCAUAUUUAUAUUAUUAUUUAUCAUUUUCCCUUAGGGAUUUUUUUCUUUGAUUAUUAAUUCUUACUUUCUUUCCCAUUUUGCAAACUAUAAAACAAUUCUCCUUUUAUUUUAAUGGUGAGAGAAGAAAAUAAGUUUCAAUUGACUUUUUAAGAGCAGAAUGCAGGAAAAGCCAUUUAUGUGAACAUUUUAUACCUGGAACAGUACAACUCUAUCUUAGAAAACAGAAACCCACACAAAAACUCUUUUAUUUCCUCACCAGGACUUUAAAAAUUCAUCUUGCCAGUUUAUAUUAUAAAGUGAAAUCCACUGAAAAUUAGCAUAAAUGGAGUGUAACAUUUUAUGAAUAAAAACUUCUGGUAAAGAAUUGUGCUAAUGCUGACCUGUGCUCCUAGACUACAGUUAAUAAAUUUAUCUCAUACAUUUAAUUCUAAUUUGCAUGGAAAUUCUGAAGACAGAAGGGAUUUGGUCUGAUCAUUCACAGAUUAACAAUCUACUGUAACUACCUGAACUUCCCGGAAAAGAUCUCUCUGCAGAUUUAGAUGCAAUCAGAGAUUACUGAUCUUGGGUGCAGGCAUGGGUUCUGUGAGCACAACUCAGCUCUGUGUCUGAAAGCUACACUCACCUCACAUGCUCACAUUCCUGGAACCAUUUGGAUUUUUAUAUAAACUAGCUGACUUGUAACAGGAAGUAUGUUAGAUAAUCUUAACAUGUGCAGAGACUAAGGCUGAAUGGGCUUCUCCUGUUCCUUAUGUUCUGGAUCAGGCAACUUUAGUAAUUUCUCUUUCACUGAUUUACAUUAACUCAAUGGGUGCUUCUUGAGUUUCAGAUGUUGGAGUCCUCACUGUUUUCUUCUUUGAUACUUCACUCUCACUCCUAAUUUGUUUUUUCUGUUUACCUCUAGGGAAAUAAUUAUAAAAUCUGCCUGAUAUUUCAGGGACUGUCUUCCAAUGUCAUUUGUCCAAUUAUAUAUUAGCUAGGCUGUAAAACUUUACUGCAUGUAUCAGCAAUUAAAGGAAUGCAUAGGUUAUAAAGGGAAAUAAUUCUCCCCAAAGUUCUUAUUUCAAUUUCAAUGUUUUUUUUUAACUUAGCAAUGUAUCUGAACAUCCUAACUGACAAAUAGUUUCUUUAUAUAACAUAUUUGUUAGUUAGCAAACUCACAAUUUGAUUGUACUAUGCCCCCCAAAAAGUUCAGAGCACAGUAUUUCCACUAAAAACAAGAUGCUUUACAGUCUACCAAAUUAUAAAUUCAGAUAUGAAAACUAUAUUAACGUUAACAUUUGAAGUGCAAUAAUAAUAACAUUCGCAAAGGAUUAAUUAUUUUAAAAAAUCCCUCUGCUUUAUCAAAAUCAAGGGAAGGACAAUAAAAAGGAAUUAUUUUUCAAGGACUAUCUUUAACCCAGGCAUCAACAACAUAAGCCACUUUAAAUCACUGAUUUGGUGAUAUUAUUUUACAAAAAUGCCCUAAUUUGGUAUCAUGUUUAAAGCACACCUUCAACUUUCAUUACAGCUAUAUUCAAUGCCAGAAUAGAUUGGAGACUGUAGGUUUGCUUUAUUUUAUAUAUAUAUAUAUUUAUUUUGUCACUAGCCGAAUCAUUCAUUCACUUACUCUGAACUACUUUAUUAUUCAAAUAUUUUCUCUUCCUAAAUAAUUUUAUAUGUCUGGUACAUUUGGGAAUUAAACUUCUCAGAUCAUCAUCCCUUUCUACGAAUUCUACUCUUUUUGUACCUAAAUAUAUAAACACUGGAACACCUCAACUCCUUUUGUAUAUAAACACUUAAGCACUGGAAUAGCCAUUUUGUAUCUCUAUGAAUUCCAGAAGGUCUAUUUGUUUUAAAUUCAGAUUUAUAUAGACUACAAUUAUUCCUUAAGGGAAUUAUAUAUAUUUAAACAAUAUGGUCUAAAUAAAUAUUUUGAGUGAGAGACUAUUGUGGCUUCAAAGUAAGUUUUAUUCUAAACAACAUUUUUUGAAACUGCAUAAAACUUUGACAUGCUAUUUAUUCACAACAAAACAGAACCAAUGUGAUCACUUGCCAACUCACCCACACUUAAAAAACAUAAAUUAUCAUAAAACUAUCAAAGCCAGUUAUGCCUCAAAAAUGCACAUGCAUUACAAGAAGAGUAGAAAUGGAUGAGCUCUCAUUCUGGUAAGCAGGUUUGCUUCUUCCUUCCCUGGGCAAAUCAGGAGCGCCUCCCACUCUCUGUGGGGGCACUCAGUGUAAGACCAAGCUAUAUGCAUCACAUUAUCUGAGCUACAGACAUUGGAAUUCCAGUGAUGAAGAAAGUGCAAACAGUUCAUAGUCACACUACUCCCACCUCUGUGCAGGGAACAGCAUUCCCAUCUAGCUGAUGCAGAUACCAGUUCUCCAGGACCCCCCUCAUCAGAGGUGCCCUGUAACUCUUUCCUCAAUUCUUCUAUGAUUACCAUUUCCCCAACUGCUGGAGGACAACAACUUAAAUUUUCUUCAGCCUGCAUUUAUUGAAAAUAAUUAUUCCUUCUGCUUACCUGAACCAGGGAUUUCUUGAAAGAGAAAUCCAUGCACUCAGCAACCAGUGCUUCCACUUCCUGGCCACCACCUACAUUUUAACUCUGCUGGCUAUCUGGAUUCUGCCCCUCACUCCCUCACAAUGUGCUCUCUGAUAGGCAAUGUUCUCAUCACAUCUGGUCCCCUUUUCUAGUCUCCCCUAGCUCCUUAGACGUUGAUGCAGCUUGUAGCACUAACUCCUUCAUUCUGGGCGGUAGAGACGGACAAUCCUAGUUUUUCUGGCAGCAACGUCUCACUUUCUCUCCACUGUAAAUAAAUACAGGUGUUUUCCAGAGCCAGACUCUUCAUUCUUAAAUUUGGCAAUUUCAUUCUCUCCUACGGCUUUAAAUAUCACUAUGUAAAAACCCAUCACUUUGUAGCCAGGGACUGUGCUAAGUGGCAGGAAAUGCAAGGCAGUGUCCCUGCGCAAGGGGCCUGACAGUUUGGCACUUUUUGCCAAAAAAAGUGGAGAGUGGAUUUAGACCACAGGCUCAAAGAAGAAGAAGAAGGAAGUCCUUAAACCAGUUUAAAAAAUGCCAUCCCUUCCUCUCUAUUACCCGUAAAUUUUUAUUCAUUUUUGCAACAGUAAAGAAUUGCCUGCGACUUACUGAAUAUUUUGCCAUUUUCCAGACUUUGAUAGGUAGUUGACAAAUACUAGGUCUCUGAAUCCUCAGAAAAUAUCAUGAGCUUGAUAUUAUUACUCCUUUAAUUUCACAAAUAAGGAAACUGAGUCAGAAAGAACUAGGCACCUUGCCAAAGUCAUUCAACUAGUAAAGUCAAAGGUGCAAGUUUGUGUGAGUGUCCCUCCCAAGUGAUUAGGGACCUUGAAUUAGAAUCUCACUCCCAGAGAGGCAAUCAUGGAACAGAGCAGAGCCUUCCUCCAAAAAUGCUCUCUCUCUCUCUUUCCUGCCUUUCACUUGGUUACUAUCCUAAUUCCAGUCUUUUUUUCUAGAUUACUCAAAGUGGCUCUAAUUAAUCUACCCAUUCCUCUUUUCUCCCCAUUCCAGUGAACAUUCUCUCUUCUCAAAUUCCCACAUAUUUGACUCUUCCAUGUGGCAUUUGCUUUACUGAGGCUAUAUCUUUGACCUCUUGUCAGCAAAAUCAGUGGGUGGGAAUCCUAUCUGAUUAGCCAGUGGAUCUCCCCCUCCCUGUCCACUGCCUAUUUCUCCAAGGCAAUGCUCUCCUCUCCACCUGCCUACCUUCCAACCCCUGCUCUGCACUGUGAGCUUCUGCUAUUCUUCAGACUUCACUCUGAUAUCACUCAUUCCCAUGGCAACUGUCCUAGUCUUCCAUUCAAAGCAAGUUCCCUAGCAGUCUCCUGCAUCACAAGGGAUCUGUCUGUCAUAGCACUAAUCACAGGUUAUGACUACUGUAUUGACCUGUGUGAUUAUUUGAUUUGGGUUUGUAUUGCCUCUAGAAUUUAAAAGGUAAGACAUCUGCUGGGCUUGUAUGCUGGCAAAUAAACAGGUGCUCAAAGGGCACUAAAAUAUGUGAUUUCCCCAAGCUUCUUUUCUCAAAUGUAAAAUGAUGGUAGCAAUGACAUCAAAACUGUGUCAAAAGACUCACAUGAAAUAAUAUAGAGUACAUGGUACCCUGCCUGGCAACAAUAGAAACUCAAUAAAUGACAACCAUCUAUAUUGCCUCCAGAAACUUUCCACAUAUUAUAUUUGAAUGAUUCUUUUAUUCCCUUCUAAUUCUUCCCAAUAUAUUAAGUUUUAUUCUAAUACCUUGCAAAAUGUUUAAUGCAUAUUUAGUCUUAAUGAAUAAAUGAACACUUUGUAUUUGUAUUACACAUAAUACCAUAUCAUGCAUACUAUAACCCUAUAAGAUAGGCACAAGGAUUAUUAUCUCUUGUUUUAAGGCUCUUAAAUGAUAUAGUGGAGAGGAAGACAAAUCUCUCAAUUACUACUGAUAGUUUCAGCUACUCAGAGGCUAAGGCAGGGGGAUUGCUUGAGCCCACUUGGGCAACAAAGCAAGACCUCCCCCCCGCCCCCAAAAAAAAGAACAUCUAAAAUACACAAACUAGGAAGUUACUAAAAAUCAAUCAUGGUUUGGUUUUAUUUAAUAUUUGAAUAUUAAAUUAAAGUGCAUUUGGAAGUUUUUGGAUAUGUUCCAAAGUUCUAUACAAAUGAUACAUUCAGUUAUCACUAAAACUGUAGUCUCUUUUGCUUUAUUACACUCAUAACUGGCUUGAACUCUGCAAGCAUAUGUGAAUUGAACAUCAAUCUUCUUACAAAUGACAUUUCUCAGGAAAGCACAAAUUGUUGCUUCAGUUAAUAUGUAGUGCACCUCACAAAGAACCACACACAGGCUAAUUAAUUGUUAGCUAUUCCUUGUUUGGGAACAUCUACACAAGUUACCUGACAAAAAAUAACAAAAAGCAACAUAAGGCCAUGGGGCAAAAAGAAACAUAAAACACAUAUUUUAAAGGAACAAUCCUAGUAGAGGGUGGGGCUCUAAAAAUAAAACUGAUUCAGUUGGGUUUUGUUUCUACAAAAAAAAGAAAAAGAAAAAAAAACACCACCUUUUCAUAGGUACUUUCUUGUAUCUCCCAUGUGUAAAUAAACCCCCCCCCCCUUUUUUUUUUUUUUUUUUUUGGUACUGGGGAUAGAACCUCUGGGCACUUAACCACUGGGCCACAUCCCCAGCCCUUUUUAAAAAAAAAUUUUUUUUUUAAUUUUAUUUAGACAUAGGGUCUCCUUGAAUUGCUAAGUGCCCCACUAAGUUGCUGAGACUUGUUUUAAACUCAUGAUCCUCUUGCCUCAGCCUCCUGAGUCGCUGGGAUUACAGCAUGCACCACCACACCAGGCAAAGCCAAAACCCCUUCUUAAAUCUUUUUUUCCUUCUUUAUUUCUGGAACGUAUAGAGGAAUUUACCACUUGGAUUAUGAAAUUUUACUUGAAACACUUCUAAACAUUUAAUACUUAAGUACAUGACCCACAUUAAAAUUCAAUUAUAGAAGAAGCUAAUCACCAAUAUAACAUUCAUUCCACCCCACUAGUUUCUACUGUAAACUUAGGUGGUACAAUUUAGGUGUAUAAAUUAAUUGGCUACAAUGACUACCAGUGACAGGUUCACCUUUUCUAUUUUUAACAAGAAUAAAUAUUUUUAUUAAAUUGAAUCUUCUAUUUUGAAAGUCAUAUACAGAUACUCUGCAAAGUUGGCAAACUAUAAGGAUCUAAAAUAAAAGUCUACAUUGUAAUUAACUCUUAUCAAUUCAUCACUACAUUUAUCAUUCACCUCUGAACAUACACACCUAUCCCAGAGGAAAGGUGUGCAUGGUGUCAAAGGUCAAAUGAACAAUUUCAGGAGAUAGGAAAACUUCAUCAAAGACUUCAAUCUUGGGGGGGGGCGGGGUUAUAGAAUAGAAAAGUAUCUCUAAUAAAUUUGAAAGUUAACUAUUCCAGAACUGUUACAGAAUAUAUGCAGUAAUCGCUGAGUAACAACAACCAGGCAGUUUGGAUUAAAAGGAUAACCAAAAAUAUGGGCCAAGCAUAUUCACACUUCAUGUAUAUGACCGUAAAAAUCUACUACAAAUAUUGCCCCAAACACUCUAAGGACCUUGGAUGACAGUACUGGUGAUCAUAUCAGAAAAUCUCUCUCUGUUAAAAUGUUCAGGAGAUUUUUUCUCUUACACCAUGGAUAAUAUGAAACAUUAACUGAAAACAACCAACUUCCUAGUACCUUGAGUUUGCUAAGCUAGAAGAUACCAUAUUUGUAGAAAAAAAAUCAGCUUCCUAAAUUGGUCAAAUCAUGAUGCAGUUUGAACAAAGAAAUUCUCUCUUUAUAACAAUUAAAAAAUACAGGACAACCACUGAGUUUACUUAUUACCAUUAUGAACUACACAACUGCUUGAGAAAUUGACUUGGGUUACAAAACUUUUACAUGAGAAAAAUAAAAAAGCAUUCACCUGUUGUACUACUAUAGGGUCUUACAAUCACAUUAGAUAAAUCAAAAUUAGAUAAAAUACAAAUUAGAAAGACAUAGAUACAAUCACAUUAGAUAAAUAAAAAUUAGAUAAAAUAUGAAUUAGAAAGACAGAGAACAUGGACCAAAAAACUCUUGGUUAUAAAGAUCUUACCAAAAUCCAAUUUAAAAAGUCUAACACUGACCAUAACACUAUUAAUUAGUAAGGUAGGUAUGUUCUCUAAAUUUAUGCAAAAAUAUAUAUAAAUCUGUGCUUAAAUAGGCACUGCACAGAGUUUAUAAGAAAACCUUACUAUAAAAGUUAAGAGCCCAGAAGAGUAUUAAAACUAUCACGUAAAUGCCGAAACUCAUGAUAGUAAUAAUGUAACAGUAAUAACAGCAAAUGAAAAGCAAUGAAGCUAUUCUGUCUGCUUACACAGCCAUUUAAAAUUUCAUAUAAUGAAAAAUUAUGGCAAGACUAUAUAUCCUGUAUGGUGGUGAGAAAACCAGAAAAAAAUUUAAAUCAAUUAAUCUUUCAAAAACAAAAAACUUUACAUUUGUAUAUUUGUUUUUAAUGGCACAUGAAGAAAUGGCAAACUGAUAAAAGUGAUCACUUUGUUGUACCUAUAUACUCUAAAACUUCUUGGUGUCUUUUCAACAGAAAGCAAGUUAUUCCAUUGUGUGACUGAGUCAGAAGAUUUGAAAACACAAGACUCCAUCUAGAGUCACCACGAAGACCAGAUGCCAUAGAUUUUUAAAAAAUAUUUUAUUAGUUAUUGAUGGACUUUUAUUUAUUUGUGUACAUGUGGUACUGAGAAUGGAACCCAGUGCCUUCACAUGUGAGGCAAGCGCUGUACCGCUGAGCCAUGGAUUUAAACACUGGACAAUGUGGUGAACAUAGAAGACUGGUCAGUUCAAAGAUGGUUAAAUUUUAACAAACACCAAAAGGAAACAAAUUAUAAACCAAGGAAACAAUGUUGUCUCUACAACAGACAGAUCCAAAGAAACAGAGAAGAUUAACUGGGGAAGGCUGACCUUUGAACACCAUUACUGUUAAAAAUCAGGAGAUUUAAAACCUCACUUUGAGUUCGUUUUUUUAAAAAAAGCACUAACCACAGGUUACCAUGGCACAUGCCUGAAAUCCCAGCAAUUCUAGAGGCUGAGGCAUGAGGAUCAUAAGUUUGAAACCAGCCUCAGCAACUUAGUGAAGCCCUAAGCAAAUUAUUGGAGAGACUCUGUCUCAAAAUGAAAAGAAUAAAGAGGACUAGGGACAUGGCUCAGUAGUUGUGCAUCCCUGAGUUCUAUCCCUGAUACAAAAAAAAAAAAAAGCACUAACCAUCCAUCAAAUAACAUACGGAUAAACACAUGGGUACAUUCAUAUAAUAGAAUAUUAACUGGCCAUAAAAAGAAAGGAAUACAGAUACACACUAAAACAUGAAUGAACCUUGAAAACAUUAUGCAAAGUUGAAUAAGCAAGUCACUAAAAGCAGUAUGAUCCCAUGCAUAUGAAAUGUCCACAACAGGGGUUUCUUUUGUAAAGAUUAAAAAAUAGGGAAGGGGUUGUGGCUCAGCGGUAGAGCAUUCACCUAGCACAUGCAAGGCCCUAGGUUCAAUUCUCAGAACCACAUAAAAAUAAAUAAAUAAAAUAAAUGUAAAAAAAAUAAAGAUAACUAGCUGAGCUGCCUAGGAUUUGGGGUGGGGCUGGUAUGGUGUCACAGCUGAAUGAUACGGAGUAGUCGCUAUUCCAUCAUAGCACUUAUUUUUAGUGGUGCUAACGGUUUAAUUCCAUAAGAUUUCGUACCUAGGAGAUGUAAUGCAGCACUAUAUCUUUCAC